This 497-nucleotide ribosomal RNA is filed under the name uncultured bacterium. RNAcentral's name for it is "partial 16S ribosomal RNA". It matches the Rfam family "Bacterial small subunit ribosomal RNA", at positions 28 to 507 of the family's 1533-position model. The record is from RNAcentral.
GAUGAACGCUGGCGGCGUGCCUAAUACAUGCAAGUCGAGCGAACGGACGAGAAGCUUGCUUCUCUGAUGUUAGCGGCGGACGGGUGAGUAACACGUGGAUAACCUACCUAUAAGACUGGGAUAAAUUCGGGAAACCGGAGCUAAUACCGGAUAAUAUUUUGAACCGCAUGGUUCAAAAGUGAAAGACGGUCUUGCUGUCACUUAUAGAUGGAUCCGCGCUGCAUUAGCUAGUUGGUAAGGUAACGGCUUACCAAGGCAACGAUGCAUAGCCGACCUGAGAGGGGGAUCGGCCACACGGGACGUGAGACACGGUCCAGACUCCUACGGGAGGCAGCAGUAGGGAAUCUUCCGCAAUGGGCGAAAGCCUGACGGAGCAACGCCGCGUGAGUGAUGAAGGUCUUCGGAUCGUAAAACUCUGUUAUUAGGGAAGAACAUAUGUGUAAGUAACUGUGCUCAUCUUGACGGUACCUAAUCAGAAAGCCACGGCUAACUACGUG